Delphinapterus leucas (beluga whale) is the source of this 1364-nucleotide non-coding RNA. The record is from RefSeq and is a predicted model, not a curated record. Lineage: Eukaryota; Metazoa; Chordata; Mammalia; Artiodactyla; Monodontidae.
CUCUAUCAGUUAGAUUGCAAUAUUCCAUGACUUUAAGUUUGAUUUCUGAUGAAUUGUCAUUUUGUUUUUGUGAUACAGUGUUGCUGUGGUUCUUCAUAGUGCUGGAUAAGUUGUUCCUCAGCUGACACAUCUGAAGUAUCGAACACCUUUCUUCUUUAGGGUCAUGGUUAGAAAGGCCACCUCCAUUCCAAAGAUUCAGGGAAAACCAUGAGGUACAGGUUAGCAGCCGUCUUCCAACCAUGAGAGAAGUCAGCUUGAAGACAAAAGUGACACACAGAGAAGGAGAGAGCCAAGACUAUCUCAGAAAAAUGGAGCAAGAGCCCUGAUUGAGCCUUGCGGGACUCCUGCGUCCUUUAAAUAAUCUUUAAGUAGUGUGUGACCAUAUGGCUAAUUUGCCUAUGACAGUCUCAGUUUAUACCAGUUUUCCUAGCUUUCUCUUUCUGAAAAGUGUUCCAGUUUCAUUUAUAUGGUCACACUCAAGAUAAUUGGAUUUUCAAUCAUAUAUCAAUCAAUUUAGCAGUUAACUAAGGUCAACUGUUUUUCAAGUUGUGUCCAUUUGGACUGUUUUCUGGCUACCUCCCAUCAUCCUCCCUCAGAUUGUUCAGUUGUUUAGAUUCAAAAAGUAAGCAAAGGAAACAUUCUGGUUUCUUCUCACUCUUACUCUUUCUUCAGGACCUAGGACUUCUCCAUGAAGUCUUUCUAGACUUUUCUAAAUAAAAGUGGUUAAAAUGGUUAUUCCCAACUCCCACACAAUUCUCCUCAUCCCUCUUUAUCAGUACUCAAUAACAUUGCAUUACAAUGAUCUGUUCUUGUGUUUAUCUUCCAUAGCCAACUGGGAACAUCUCCUGAAAAAGGAUUAUAUCACUUUUAACUUUGUAUCCAAAGCAUGAGAACAAUGUGCUCCCGGAACAGUUUCUUUUGAUAUUUGCUGAGGAAUAAAGGAAAAGAAAUAACUGGAUAGGAAAGCCAUUCAUUUGUUUGCUUUGUCAUUUUAACAGUCUGUUCAACUAAUUUUGCUCAAUAUUUUCCAUUGUAGCAACUAACCAUUAAUGAUGACUCCCAAGCCCAAAUUAUCUCAAAAUAAUUAAAAUGGGCAAUUGAAUUUAAGGAUGAGCUUAAUAUAGAAAACCCCCAAGAGUUGUUUCUGUUACCCUGAAUUGUCCAGUGAACUGUUUCAUGCUUCUUCAUAUUUAAGAUAAUGCUUCAAAUUUAUACCCACAAUGAAAUAAAGCCUUAAAAAUAAUCUGAUAUGUUUUCUGAACAAUUAAAUUAUUAGACUAGGUGGAGGGCUCAUCUUCUUCACAAAUUCAUUGUUAGUUUGGUCUCAUUCAUGCAGAUGUUCCUUUUUUUUUUUUUUAACCAAU